This 483-nucleotide ribosomal RNA is filed under the name uncultured bacterium. Its description in RNAcentral is "partial 16S ribosomal RNA". It matches the Rfam family "Bacterial small subunit ribosomal RNA", at positions 28 to 523 of the family's 1533-position model. The record is from RNAcentral.
GACGAACGCUGGCGGCGUGCUUAACACAUGCAAGUCGAACGGUGAAGGUGGAGCUUGCUCCGCCGGAUCAGAGGCGAACGGGUGAGUAACACGUGGGCAACCUGCCCCAGACUUCGGGAUAACUCCUCGAAAGAGGCGCUAAUACCGGAUACGAGUUCUGCAGGCAUCUGCGGAAUUGGAAAGUUUUUCGGUCUGGGAUGGGCCCGCGGCCUAUCAGCUUGUUGGUGAGGUAACGGCUCACCAAGGCGACGAAGGGUAGCCGGCCUGAGAGGGCGACCGGCCACACUGGGACUGAGACACGGCCCAGACUCCUACGGGAGGCAGCAGUGGGGAAUAUUGCGCAAUGGGCGAAAGCCUGACGCAGCAACGCCGCGUGCGGGAUGAAGGCCUUCGGGUUGUAAACCGCUUUCAGCAGGGAAGAAGCGAAAGUGACGGUACCUGCAGAAGAAGCACCGGCUAACUACGUGCCAGCCGCCGCAGUAA